AAGAGACAGCAGUAGCCACGGGAAUACGUAGGGUGCAAGCGUUAAUCGGAAUUACUGGGCGUAAAGCGUGCGCAGGCGGUUAUAUAAGACAGAUGUGAAAUCCCCGGGCUCAACCUGGGAACUGCAUUUGUGACUGUAUAGCUAGAGUACGGCAGAGGGGGAUGGAAUUCCGCGUGUAGCAGUGAAAUGCGUAGAUAUGCGGAGGAACACCGAUGGCGAAGGCAAUCCCCUGGGCCUGUACUGACGCUCAUGCACGAAAGCGUGGGGAGCAAACAGGAUUAGAUACCCCCGUAGUCCCUGUCUCUUAUAC
Molecule: ribosomal RNA, 310 nt
Filed under: uncultured bacterium
Lineage: Bacteria
Description: partial 16S ribosomal RNA
Rfam family: Bacterial small subunit ribosomal RNA
Source: RNAcentral